This 467-nucleotide ribosomal RNA is filed under the name uncultured bacterium. RNAcentral's name for it is "partial 16S ribosomal RNA". It matches the Rfam family "Bacterial small subunit ribosomal RNA", at positions 28 to 507 of the family's 1533-position model. The record is from RNAcentral.
GACGAACGCUGGCGGCGUGCUUAACACAUGCAAGUCGAACGGAAAGGCCUCUUUCGGGGGGUACUCGAGUGGCGAACGGGUGAGUAACACGUGAGUAACCUGCCCUUGACUUUGGGAUAACUUCAGGAAACUGGGGCUAAUACCGGAUAGGAGCUCCUGCUGCAUGGUGGGGGUUGGAAAGUUUCGGCGGUUGGGGAUGGACUCGCGGCUUAUCAGCUUGUUGGUGGGGUAGUGGCUUACCAAGGCUUUGACGGGUAGCCGGCCUGAGAGGGUGACCGGCCACAUUGGGACUGAGAUACGGCCCAGACUCCUACGGGAGGCAGCAGUGGGGAAUAUUGCACAAUGGGUGGAAGCCUGAUGCAGCAACGCCGUGUGCGGGAUGACGGCCUUCGGGUUGUAAACCACUUUCGCUCAUGACGAAGCUUUGUGUGACGGUAGUGGGUAAAGAAGCACCGGCUAACUACGUG